UUAAGCGACUAAGCGUACACGGUGGAUGCCCUGGCAGUCAGAGGCGAUGAAGGGCGUGCUAAUCUGCGAUAAGCGCCGGUAAGGUGAUAUGAACCGUUAUAACCGGCGAUACCCGAAUGGGGAAACCCAGUGUGACUCGUCACACUAUCAUUAACUGAAUCCAUAGGUUAAUGAGGCGAACCGGGGGAACUGAAACAUCUAAGUACCCCGAGGAAAAGAAAUCAACCGAGAUUCCCCCAGUAGCGGCGAGCGAACGGGGAGGAGCCCAGAGCCUGAAUCAGCAUGUGUGUUAGUGGAAGCGUCUGGAAAGGCGCGCGAUACAGGGUGACAGCCCCGUACACAAAAGCGCAUAUGCUGUGAGCUCGAUGAGUAGGGCGGGACACGUGGUAUCCUGUCUGAAUAUGGGGGGACCAUCCUCCAAGGCUAAAUACUCCUGACUGACCGAUAGUGAACCAGUACCGUGAGGGAAAGGCGAAAAGAACCCCGGCGAGGGGAGUGAAAAAGAACCUGAAACCGUGUACGUACAAGCAGUGGGAGCACAGGUUUACCUGUGUGACUGCGUACCUUUUGUAUAAUGGGUCAGCGACUUAUAUUCUGUAGCAAGGUUAACCGAAUAGGGGAGCCGGAGGGAAACCGAGUCUUAAUUGGGCGUUAAGUUGCAGGGUAUAGACCCGAAACCCGGUGAUCUAGCCAUGGGCAGGUUGAAGGUUGGGUAACACUAACUGGAGGACCGAACCGACUAAUGUUGAAAAAUUAGCGGAUGACCUGUGGCUGGGGGUGAAAGGCCAAUCAAACCGGGAGAUAGCUGGUUCUCCCCGAAAGCUAUUUAGGUAGCGCCUCGUGAAUUCAUCUCCGGGGGUAGAGCACUGUUUCGGCUAGGGGGCCAUCCCGGCUUACCAACCCGAUGCAAACUGCGAAUACCGGAGAAUGUUAUCACGGGAGACACACGGCGGGUGCUAACGUCCGUCGUGAAGAGGGAAACAACCCAGACCGCCAGCUAAGGUCCCAAAGUCAUGGUUAAGUGGGAAACGAUGUGGGAAGGCCCAGACAGCCAGGAUGUUGGCUUAGAAGCAGCCAUCAUUUAAAGAAAGCGUAAUAGCUCACUGGUCGAGUCGGCCUGCGCGGAAGAUGUAACGGGGCUAAACCAUGCACCGAAGCUGCGGCAGCGACACUGUGUGUUGUUGGGUAGGGGAGCGUUCUGUAAGCCUGCGAAGGUGGCCUGUGAGGGUUGCUGGAGGUAUCAGAAGUGCGAAUGCUGACAUAAGUAACGAUAAAGCGGGUGAAAAGCCCGCUCGCCGGAAGACCAAGGGUUCCUGUCCAACGUUAAUCGGGGCAGGGUGAGUCGACCCCUAAGGCGAGGCCGAAAGGCGUAGUCGAUGGGAAACAGGUUAAUAUUCCUGUACUUGGUGUUACUGCGAAGGGGGGACGGAGAAGGCUAUGUUGGCCGGGCGACGGUUGUCCCGGUUUAAGCGUGUAGGUGUGUGUUCCAGGUAAAUCCGGUUCACUUUAACACUGAGGCGUGAUGACGAGGCACUACGGUGCUGAAGCAACAAAUGCCCUGCUUCCAGGAAAAGCCUCUAAGCAUCAGGUAACAUCAAAUCGUACCCCAAACCGACACAGGUGGUCAGGUAGAGAAUACCAAGGCGCUUGAGAGAACUCGGGUGAAGGAACUAGGCAAAAUGGUGCCGUAACUUCGGGAGAAGGCACGCUGACACGUAGGUGAAGUGAUUUACUCACGGAGCUGAAGUCAGUCGAAGAUACCAGCUGGCUGCAACUGUUUAUUAAAAACACAGCACUGUGCAAACACGAAAGUGGACGUAUACGGUGUGACGCCUGCCCGGUGCCGGAAGGUUAAUUGAUGGGGUCAGCGCAAGCGAAGCUCCUGAUCGAAGCCCCGGUAAACGGCGGCCGUAACUAUAACGGUCCUAAGGUAGCGAAAUUCCUUGUCGGGUAAGUUCCGACCUGCACGAAUGGCGUAAUGAUGGCCAGGCUGUCUCCACCCGAGACUCAGUGAAAUUGAACUCGCUGUGAAGAUGCAGUGUACCCGCGGCAAGACGGAAAGACCCCGUGAACCUUUACUAUAGCUUGACACUGAACAUUGAGCCUUGAUGUGUAGGAUAGGUGGGAGGCUUUGAAGUGUGGACGCCAGUCUGCAUGGAGCCGACCUUGAAAUACCACCCUUUAAUGUUUGAUGUUCUAACGUGGACCCGUGAUCCGGGUUGCGGACAGUGUCUGGUGGGUAGUUUGACUGGGGCGGUCUCCUCCUAAAGAGUAACGGAGGAGCACGAAGGUUGGCUAAUCCUGGUCGGACAUCAGGAGGUUAGUGCAAUGGCAUAAGCCAGCUUGACUGCGAGCGUGACGGCGCGAGCAGGUGCGAAAGCAGGUCAUAGUGAUCCGGUGGUUCUGAAUGGAAGGGCCAUCGCUCAACGGAUAAAAGGUACUCCGGGGAUAACAGGCUGAUACCGCCCAAGAGUUCAUAUCGACGGCGGUGUUUGGCACCUCGAUGUCGGCUCAUCACAUCCUGGGGCUGAAGUAGGUCCCAAGGGUAUGGCUGUUCGCCAUUUAAAGUGGUACGCGAGCUGGGUUUAGAACGUCGUGAGACAGUUCGGUCCCUAUCUGCCGUGGGCGCUGGAGAACUGAGGGGGGCUGCUCCUAGUACGAGAGGACCGGAGUGGACGCAUCACUGGUGUUCGGGUUGUCAUGCCAAUGGCACUGCCCGGUAGCUAAAUGCGGAAGAGAUAAGUGCUGAAAGCAUCUAAGCACGAAACUUGCCCCGAGAUGAGUUCUCCCUGAGACUUAGAGUCUCCUGAAGGAACGUUGAAGACGACGACGUUGAUAGGCCGGGUGUGUAAGCGCAGCGAUGCGUUGAGCUAACCGGUACUAAUGAACCGUGAGGCUUAACCUU
Molecule: ribosomal RNA, 2905 nt
Filed under: Salmonella enterica subsp. enterica
Lineage: Bacteria; Pseudomonadati; Pseudomonadota; Gammaproteobacteria; Enterobacterales; Enterobacteriaceae
Description: bacterial LSU rRNA
Rfam family: Bacterial large subunit ribosomal RNA
Source: RNAcentral